Molecule: ribosomal RNA, 253 nt
Filed under: uncultured bacterium
Lineage: Bacteria
Description: partial 16S ribosomal RNA
Rfam family: Bacterial small subunit ribosomal RNA
Source: RNAcentral
UACAGAGGAUGCGAGCGUUAAUCGGAAUUACUGGGCGUAAAGCGCGCGUAGGCGGCUUUGCAAGUCGGGUGUGAAAUCCCCAGGCUUAACCUGGGAACGGCAUUCGAGACUGCAUUGCUAGAGUAUGGGAGAGGGAAGUGGAAUGUCCGGUGUAGCGGUGAAAUGCGUAGAUAUCGGAAGGAACAUCAGUGGCGAAGGCGGCCUGCUGGGCAGUGGCUGACACUGAGGCGCGACAGCGUGGGGAGCAAACAGG